RNAcentral lists this ribosomal RNA (521 nucleotides) under fungal sp. RNAcentral's name for it is "eukaryotic LSU rRNA". The stretch from base 168 to 321 matches the Rfam family "5.8S ribosomal RNA". Lineage: Eukaryota; Fungi. The record is from RNAcentral.
GGGGGGUUACGGGGUGCAACUCCCACCAUUGUGACAUACCUCACCGUUGCUUCGGCGGGUGGCCCUCUCCGGGGCCGCGCCGGCCCCUCCGGGGGCCGGCAACCCGUCAGAGGACCGAAACUCUUAGUAACCAUUGGCCUCUCUGAGUAACUUAUACAAUAAGUCAAAACUUUCAACAACGGAUCUCUUGGUUCUGGCAUCGAUGAAGAACGCAGCGAAAUGCGAUACGUAAUGUGAAUUGCAGAUUUCAGUGAAUCAUCGAAUCUUUGAACGCACAUUGCGCCCGCUAGUAUUCUGGCGGGCAUGCCUGUUCGAGCGUCAUUUCAACCAUCAAGCCCCCGGCUUGCGUUGGAGCCCUGCGGCUGCCGCAGGCUCCCAAAUCCAGUGGCGGGCUCGUCGUCGUACCGAGCGCAGUAAACAUCCUCGCUCAGGGAACGCGUCGGGUUCUUGCCGUGAAACCCCCCACAUAUCAAGGUUGACCUCGGAUCAGGUAGGAAUACCCGCUGAACUUAAGCAUACUU